CGUAAACUAUUUUGAUAGGUUCAUUUCAACUUUGAAGUUUCCAAGAGAUAAGCCUUGGCUGAGUCAACUUACUGCGGUGGCUUGUUUGUCUCUGGCUGCCAAAGUGGAGGAGACCCAAGUGCCUCUUCUUUUAGACUUGCAAGUGGAGGAAUCAAAGUAUGUUUUCGAAGCCAAGACUAUAAAGAGAAUGGAGCUUCUGGUGCUCUCUACUCUUCAGUGGAGGAUGAAUCCUGUGACGCCAAUUUCCUUCUUUGAUCACAUUAUAAGGAGGCUUGGACUAAAGAAUCAAUUACAUUGGGAAUUUCUUAGGAAAUGUGAGCGUUUACUUC
This 329-nucleotide unclassified non-coding RNA is filed under the name Hevea brasiliensis (rubber tree). The record is from RNAcentral. Lineage: Eukaryota; Viridiplantae; Streptophyta; Magnoliopsida; Malpighiales; Euphorbiaceae.